ACCUGACGGCACGGCUCACAGCCGCCGGCAAGGCCCAGAACCCACCGAAGGUGGUUUUCUUUAAAUAUUAUUAUGACAUAAUUAUUAUUAAAUAUUAUUAUAUCAUAAUUAUAAAUAUAAUUAUAAAAAUAAUAUGAUAUGAAAUGAAAAAAAAUAAAAGUCAUACCUGCAGCUGUGGAGAGGGAGGUCGCACAGAGCUGCGGAGGUCGUCGGCAGUGGCAU
Molecule: long non-coding RNA, 222 nt
Filed under: Elaeis guineensis (African oil palm)
Lineage: Eukaryota; Viridiplantae; Streptophyta; Magnoliopsida; Arecales; Arecaceae
Description: long non-coding RNA (EGUI_LNC030831)
Source: RNAcentral